Molecule: long non-coding RNA, 2691 nt
Organism: Cottoperca gobio
Lineage: Eukaryota; Metazoa; Chordata; Actinopteri; Perciformes; Bovichtidae
Product: chromosome unknown C9orf152 homolog
Source: Ensembl
CAAAUAGUGAGAAAUGAGACCAAACCUGGGGGGGGGGGGGGCACUGAUGAAGAGUGGUGUAGACACACACACACACACACACACACACACACAGACACACAUACAGAGACACACACACACACACACACAGACACACAUACAGAGACACACAUACACACACACACACACACACACACACACACGCACACAGAGACACACACACACGCACACACACAGAGACACACACACACACACACACACACACACACACAGAGACACGCACACACACAUACACACACACACACGCACACACACACACACACACACACACAGAGACACUCGCACACAAACAUACAAAGACACCCACAUAUAAAGACAGACACACACACACACUGAUGUCUGACGUGCUGCUGUACGUCUUUGGUGUGUAAUCUUGUUUCACUUCACAGCGUUUGUUCUUCACUCUGGUUGUGUGAACAGAAAGGUCAACAACAUAUCGUCCGUCCUUCACUGUUUACACACGAAUCAAAGUCACAGUGUGUGUGCGUGUAUGUGUGUGUGUGUGUGUGUGCGUGUAUGUGCGUGUGCGUGUGUGUGCUUUCAUCAGUCCAGCAUCCUGCCUCACAGGUAACGCAGCAGAAACAUGGUGGCUCCUCGUUCCUCCUUCGAUGGUCAUUGAAUCAGUUUGUGUUGCUGCAGGUUUCAUCAGACUGGAUGGUUUCUGAUGGACUUCAGCAGGUUCUGGUUUCUACGAGCUUCCAGAGGGGUUUUAAACGCACCACAAGUCCCCAUGCUGCAGGAGGUGGAUGCUGCCUUCACUGACAGGGAAUAAAACUCCUGCAGCAGGUGUGUGUGUGUGUGUGUGUGUGUGUGUGUGUGUGUGUGUGUGUGUGUGUGUGUGUGUGUGUGUGUGUGUGUGCGUGUGUGUGUGUGUGUCUGUGUGCGCGUGCGUGCGUGUGUGAGAGCUGAUGCCAACAGGAUGUCCUGCUCCCGCUGCUGCUGUGUGGGGCUGCUGGACGGGAGCCGGAAGAAGGAGCGGUUGGUGAGGCGCGUGGAGGAGCAGGAGGAGGACAGCACGAGGAACAUGGACAUCUCUCUGCUCAGGGAGCAGUACAGGAGCACGAGGGAGGCGCAGAGGAGACACACUCAGGUGCUGCUGUUCAGGACAGUGUCGGAGGAGCUGUCGGAGGCCGUCGGCAUCGUCCCCGUCACUCAGGGUUUGGCGUCGCCAUGGGAACCAGACAGCAGCUCACCGUCGGCUGUGACCUUUGACCCCGACCCGACGACCGGCUGCGACCCCUGGCACGUCCAUCUGGAUCUCCACCUGCGCUCCCGCCCCUGCGUCGGCGCGCAGCUCACAGCUUCCUCCCCGGAAACAACAAACACCAACAGUUCCUCGCGACGUUCGUCGUCCUCCGAGUCCGUCGGCAGGAAACUCUCCGUGGACUCUCCGUCUGAGUCUCCCUGCAGCUCCUCCUGCAGUACCAAAGAAGAAGAUCACACUGCCGGGUGCCGAGCAGAGCCAGAGGAGACGGAUCCCCCCCACGCCUCCACCAACAUUCUGCAUGAAGACCUGCAGGAGAAGCCGUGUGCGACGGGGAACAUCGUCCUGCAGAGGAAGUUGUCGGCCCCGGCCCUCAGACUCACCAGGCAGCUGAGUGUCGGGGGGGUGGGCUCGUCCACGGGGGGGCCCCAGAACCACAACUACCACCCAUUUCCCAACAGGAAGACCCCGAGGAUCUCGGAGGCCGCCCGGAGACUGGGCAUGUACUCGUCCUUCUGAUUUCAGACGGGUCCAUUCGUCAUUAAGAACACUCAGAAAUGAAAAUAUCAUUUUAUUUCAUGUAUUUCACGUUAUGUGUAUUCUUGCACAGAGGAAUAUCUACAUGCAAGAUUCUCAAUAUGUUUUCAUGUAAUUAUUUUCUUCCUUAGAGGACAAAAGUGUCAGAAAACUGCCAUAAAAAUAUUAUUAAUUAAUAUUAUUUUCCACUUUCACUGAGUUUAUUAAAAAAACAAAAUAUAAUUAUUUCCUGUAAACAAAUUUUUUUUAUCUUCAUGUGUCCACAGAAUGAGACGUCUGACUGAUUAUAUAUAAUAAUAAUAUAUAGUUUGUGCAGGAAACCAUGGAAACAGAAGGUGUUUGUCCCAAACAGGAGAAAAUGUGUCAAUCUGAUGAACAGUAAAAAGUUUAAUUCUGAUCCAGAAGUGAAGCUGAGAUCAUACGAAGCAUUAACAGACAAAAUGAUGGAUCAUGAGGAGAAAAAUGUUUUGUGGAUUUGAGUUCUGCAUUAAAAUGAUCAGAUUUACAAUAAUUAUAAUAAAUCAGAUUUUGUCUUUGACACAAUUACAACUGAAUUUAAUUUUGUAUUGAACCUUAAUUUCUGCUCUCUUAUGGAGAACUUAAUAAAUAAACGUACUACUUUUAUUUUAUGUUAUUUUGUUUUACCUGCUUUGUUUUAUUUUAUGUUUUAUUUUACUUUAUUCAAGGUUGCCUUGUCUCUUAAGUGUAUUUUUAUUUACAUUUAUUUGACUUGACUUUUGUUUUAUUUUACUUUGUUAUUCUGUGUUAUCGGUUUUAUUGUAUGUUGCCUUGUCUCUUCUCAACUCUCGCCUCAGUCGAUCAAAGAUCGUCUAUAUUUAAGAGGACGAGUCUCGGCUGUGACGUACCCGCUGAGCAGUUGGCUUGACUUUACGUCACUUUACUUCACGUUC